RNAcentral lists this non-coding RNA (107 nucleotides) under Clostridiales bacterium. Its description in RNAcentral is "SAM". It matches the Rfam family "SAM riboswitch aptamer (S box leader)". From Rfam's summary of the family: The SAM riboswitch is found upstream of a number of genes which code for proteins involved in methionine or cysteine biosynthesis in Gram-positive bacteria. Lineage: Bacteria; Bacillati; Bacillota; Clostridia; Eubacteriales. The record is from RNAcentral. RNAcentral also lists the same sequence under 1 other name.
CCCUUAUCAAGAGUGGCGGAGGGACCAGGCCCUAUGAUGCCCGACAACCUACCGGUGAAAAAAUCCGGUAAGGUGCUAAUUCCUGCGGUGAGACCGAAAGAUGAGGC